AGGAGUGGAGCCUGCGGCUUAAUUUGACUCAACACGGGAAACCUCACCAGGCCCGGACACCGGAAGGAUUGACAGAUUGAGAGCUCUUUCUUGAUUCGGUGGGUGGUGGUGCAUGGCCGUUCUUAGUUGGUGGAGCGAUUUGUCUGGUUAAUUCCGAUAACGAACGAGACUCUAGCCUGCUAACUAGGCGUAUUUCGACAUCCCAAAGGCCCGCCGGUCUGGGGUUCCGACCCCUUUCCGCGCGCGGUUUUUACUGUCGGCGUACAAACAAUUCUUCUUAGAGGGACAGGCGGCUUCUAGCCGCACGAGAUUGAGCAAUAACAGGUCUGUGAUGCCCUUAGAUGUUCUGGGCCG
This 354-nucleotide ribosomal RNA is filed under the name Jamwonus subcostatus. RNAcentral's name for it is "SSU rRNA". It matches the Rfam family "Eukaryotic small subunit ribosomal RNA", at positions 1172 to 1489 of the family's 1831-position model. The record is from RNAcentral. Lineage: Eukaryota; Metazoa; Arthropoda; Insecta; Coleoptera; Cerambycidae.